Cyprinus carpio carpio is the source of this 468-nucleotide long non-coding RNA. Lineage: Eukaryota; Metazoa; Chordata; Actinopteri; Cypriniformes; Cyprinidae. The record is from Ensembl.
UGUAGAUAUUAAUGUUAGGGGAGAAUGUGAGUGAUGUGUACAUUUAGUAGGAAAACCUAUUAUCUGAUCCACACUCCGGGACAGAAGAGGGCAGUAUUGCACCAAUAAGCUGGAUGCCAACCCCCGUUAAACUGGAAAGAAGUUACAAUGAGUUACAAUGGUAGUGGUGCUCAUGGAGAGCAGCACAUGAUUGUUUGGAGCAGACACAGCAGCAGUCAGAUUGUCCUGCAUGUGUUCUUCUGCUCUCGUUUCAAGGUUGUGUGGUUCAGAGAGCCGUCAUCAAGGUCUUCCUCAUCCUGUUGCUCAACGACAUCCCCGUUGAGAAGAGUGAGAUUGUGAAGCACAGCGCAGCAGAACUGUCUCAGCUGUGUUGAGAUGAUAGUAAGAUGUGGGGUUCACCAUCUGUAAAUACAUGAUUGUUAGAACAGUAAGUUUGAAAGAAGCUUUGUUUCAUGUGUUGUUGACUUG